GACGAACGCUGGCGGCGUGCUUAACACAUGCAAGUCGAACGAUGAACCCGGAGCUUGCUCCGGUGGAUUAGUGGCGAACGGGUGAGUAACACGUGAGUAACCUGCCCUUGACUCUGGGAUAACUGCGGGAAACUGUAGCUAAUACCGGAUACGACCCUCGGCGGCAUCGCCAGGGGGUGGAAAGAAUUUCGGUCAAGGAUGGACUCGCGGCCUAUCAGCUAGUUGGUGAGGUAACGGCUCACCAAGGCGACGACGGGUAGCCGGCCUGAGAGGGUGACCGGCCACACUGGGACUGAGACACGGCCCAGACUCCUACGGGAGGCAGCAGUGGGGAAUAUUGCACCAUGGGCGCAAGCCUGAUGCAGCAACGCCGCGUGAGGGAUGACGGCCUUCGGGUUGUAAACCUCUUUUAGUAGGGAAGAAGCGAGAGUGACGGUACCUGCAGAAAAAGCACCGGCUAACUACGUGCCAGCCGCCGCGGUAA
Molecule: ribosomal RNA, 484 nt
Filed under: uncultured bacterium
Lineage: Bacteria
Description: partial 16S ribosomal RNA
Rfam family: Bacterial small subunit ribosomal RNA
Source: RNAcentral